GACGAACGCUGGCGGCGUGCUUAACACAUGCAAGUCGAACGUGAUUUUUGUGGAAAUUCUUUCGGGAAUGGAAAUGAAAUGAAAGUGGCGAACGGGUGAGUAACACGUGAGCAACCUACCUUACACAGGGGGAUAGCCGUUGGAGACGACGAUUAAUACCGCAUGAGACCACAGAAUCGCAUGAUAUAGGGGUCAAAGAUUUAUCGGUGUAAGAAGGGCUCGCGUCUGAUUAGCUAGUUGGAAGGGUAAAGGCCUACCAAGGCGACGAUCAGUAGCCGGUCUGAGAGGAUGAACGGCCACAUUGGAACUGAGACACGGUCCAAACUCCUACGGGAGGCAGCAGUGGGGAAUAUUGCACAAUGGGGGGAACCCUGAUGCAGCGACGCCGCGUGAGCGAAGAAGGUUUUCGAAUCGUAAAGCUCUGUCCUAUGAGAAGAUAAUGACGGUAUCAUAGGAGGAAGCCCCGGCUAAAUACGUG
This 478-nucleotide ribosomal RNA is filed under the name uncultured bacterium. RNAcentral's name for it is "partial 16S ribosomal RNA". It matches the Rfam family "Bacterial small subunit ribosomal RNA", at positions 28 to 507 of the family's 1533-position model. The record is from RNAcentral.